UACGUAGGGGGCAAGCGUUGGCCGGAUUUAUUGGGCGUAAAGAGCGUGUAGGCGGCUAGAUAGGUCCGUUGUGAAAACUCGAGGCUCAACCUCGAGACGUCGAUGGAAACCAUCUGGCUAGAGUCCGGAAGAGGAGAGUGGAAUUCCUGGUGUAGCGGUGAAAUGCGCAGAUAUCAGGAAGAACACCCGUGGCGAAGGCGGCUCUCUGGUACGUGACUGACGCUGAGACGCGAAAGCGUGGGGAGCAAACAGG
Molecule: ribosomal RNA, 253 nt
Filed under: uncultured bacterium
Lineage: Bacteria
Description: partial 16S ribosomal RNA
Rfam family: Bacterial small subunit ribosomal RNA
Source: RNAcentral